AAUCCAUAGGUUAAUGAGGCGAACCGGGGGAACUGAAACAUCUAAGUACCCCGAGGAAAAGAAAUCAACCGAGAUUCCCCCAGUAGCGGCGAGCGAACGGGGAGGAGCCCAGAGCCUGAAUCAGCAUGUGUGUUAGUGGAAGCGUCUGGAAAGGCGCGCGAUACAGGGUGACAGCCCCGUACACAAAAGCGCAUGUGCUGUGAGCUCGAUGAGUAGGGCGGGACACGUGGUAUCCUGUCUGAAUAUGGGGGGACCAUCCUCCAAGGCUAAAUACUCCUGACUGACCGAUAGUGAACCAGUACCGUGAGGGAAAGGCGAAAAGAACCCCGGCGAGGGGAGUGAAAAAGAACCUGAAACCGUGUACGUACAAGCAGUGGGAGCACAGGUUUACCUGUGUGACUGCGUACCUUUUGUAUAAUGGGUCAGCGACUUAUAUUCUGUAGCAAGGUUAACCGAAUAGGGGAGCCGGAGGGAAACCGAGUCUUAAUUGGGCGUUAAGUUGCAGGGUAUAGACCCGAAACCCGGUGAUCUAGCCAUGGGCAGGUUGAAGGUUGGGUAACACUAACUGGAGGACCGAACCGACUAAUGUUGAAAAAUUAGCGGAUGACCUGUGGCUGGGGGUGAAAGGCCAAUCAAACCGGGAGAUAGCUGGUUCUCCCCGAAAGCUAUUUAGGUAGCGCCUCGUGAAUUCAUCUCCGGGGGUAGAGCACUGUUUCGGCUAGGGGGCCAUCCCGGCUUACCAACCCGAUGCAAACUGCGAAUACCGGAGAAUGUUAUCACGGGAGACACACGGCGGGUGCUAACGUCCGUCGUGAAGAGGGAAACAACCCAGACCGCCAGCUAAGGUCCCAAAGUCAUGGUUAAGUGGGAAACGAUGUGGGAAGGCCCAGACAGCCAGGAUGUUGGCUUAGAAGCAGCCAUCAUUUAAAGAAAGCGUAAUAGCUCACUGGUCGAGUCGGCCUGCGCGGAAGAUGUAACGGGGCUAAACCAUGCACCGAAGCUGCGGCAGCGACACUGUGUGUUGUUGGGUAGGGGAGCGUUCUGUAAGCCUGCGAAGGUGGCCUGUGAGGGUUGCUGGAGGUAUCAGAAGUGCGAAUGCUGACAUAAGUAACGAUAAAGCGGGUGAAAAGCCCGCUCGCCGGAAGACCAAGGGUUCCUGUCCAACGUUAAUCGGGGCAGGGUGAGUCGACCCCUAAGGCGAGGCCGAAAGGCGUAGUCGAUGGGAAACGGGUUAAUAUUCCCGUACUUGGUGUUACUGCGAAGGGGGGACGGAGAAGGCUAUGUUGGCCGGGCGACGGUUGUCCCGGUUUAAGCGUGUAGGUGUGUGUUCCAGGUAAAUCCGGUUCACUUUAACACUGAGGCGUGACGACGAGGCACUACGGUGCUGAAGCAACAAAUGCCCUGCUUCCAGGAAAAGCCUCUAAGCAUCAGGUAACAUCAAAUCGUACCCCAAACCGACACAGGUGGUCAGGUAGAGAAUACCAAGGCGCUUGAGAGAACUCGGGUGAAGGAACUAGGCAAAAUGGUGCCGUAACUUCGGGAGAAGGCACGCUGACACGUAGGUGAAGUGAUUUACUCAUGGAGCUGAAGUCAGUCGAAGAUACCAGCUGGCUGCAACUGUUUAUUAAAAACACAGCACUGUGCAAACACGAAAGUGGACGUAUACGGUGUGACGCCUGCCCGGUGCCGGAAGGUUAAUUGAUGGGGUCAGCGCAAGCGAAGCUCCUGAUCGAAGCCCCGGUAAACGGCGGCCGUAACUAUAACGGUCCUAAGGUAGCGAAAUUCCUUGUCGGGUAAGUUCCGACCUGCACGAAUGGCGUAAUGAUGGCCAGGCUGUCUCCACCCGAGACUCAGUGAAAUUGAACUCGCUGUGAAGAUGCAGUGUACCCGCGGCAAGACGGAAAGACCCCGUGAACCUUUACUAUAGCUUGACACUGAACAUUGAGCCUUGAUGUGUAGGAUAGGUGGGAGGCUUUGAAGUGUGGACGCCAGUCUGCAUGGAGCCGACCUUGAAAUACCACCCUUUAAUGUUUGAUGUUCUAACGUGGACCCGUUACCCGGGUUGCGGACAGUGUCUGGUGGGUAGUUUGACUGGGGCGGUCUCCUCCUAAAGAGUAACGGAGGAGCACGAAGGUUGGCUAAUCCUGGUCGGACAUCAGGAGGUUAGUGCAAUGGCAUAAGCCAGCUUGACUGCGAGCGUGACGGCGCGAGCAGGUGCGAAAGCAGGUCAUAGUGAUCCGGUGGUUCUGAAUGGAAGGGCCAUCGCUCAACGGAUAAAAGGUACUCCGGGGAUAACAGGCUGAUACCGCCCAAGAGUUCAUAUCGACGGCGGUGUUUGGCACCUCGAUGUCGGCUCAUCACAUCCUGGGGCUGAAGUAGGUCCCAAGGGUAUGGCUGUUCGCCAUUUAAAGUGGUACGCGAGCUGGGUUUAGAACGUCGUGAGACAGUUCGGUCCCUAUCUGCCGUGGGCGCUGGAGAACUGAGGGGGGCUGCUCCUAGUACGAGAGGACCGGAGUGGACGCAUCACUGGUGUUCGGGUUGUCAUGCCAAUGGCACUGCCCGGUAGCUAAAUGCGGAAGAGAUAAGUGCUGAAAGCAUCUAAGCACGAAACUUGCCCCGAGAUGAGUUCUCCCUGAGACUUAAAGUCUCC
Molecule: ribosomal RNA, 2650 nt
Filed under: Salmonella enterica subsp. enterica serovar Enteritidis
Lineage: Bacteria; Pseudomonadati; Pseudomonadota; Gammaproteobacteria; Enterobacterales; Enterobacteriaceae
Description: partial 23S ribosomal RNA
Rfam family: Bacterial large subunit ribosomal RNA
Source: RNAcentral